CGUUAAAACUCCAGUUCCCGUACGAUUAUCGAAGUUAAGCACCGUCGAGCCUGGUCAUUACCUAGAUGGGUGACCGUUUAGGAAUACCAGGUGCUGUAAG
RNAcentral lists this ribosomal RNA (100 nucleotides) under Acanthosepion pharaonis. Lineage: Eukaryota; Metazoa; Mollusca; Cephalopoda; Sepiida; Sepiidae. The record is from RNAcentral.